RNAcentral lists this ribosomal RNA (306 nucleotides) under Triticum aestivum (bread wheat). RNAcentral's name for it is "partial small subunit ribosomal RNA". The record is from RNAcentral. Lineage: Eukaryota; Viridiplantae; Streptophyta; Magnoliopsida; Poales; Poaceae.
AUGUACAGAGUUCCGGUUAUCACACCGUAUGAGUUCGACAUGAUCUUUUAUAUGAUGUCAACUUUUGUUGUUCCCGGUCAACAUACGUUUUGCCAAAUCACUAUUAAUGCGGCUUUGUUUCUCCUAGAGCACUGGAGCAAUCACAUCAUGAGAGGGUCAACAGACGACAAUCCGACAUGUGUCACCGACAGUGAAGGAAGCUGCCAUUCUACAGAAAGAACAAUCAUUCGAGCUACCCAUGAUGUGAGAGCGACAAGCAACCGUGAACCAUUGCACAUCAGCAACAAAAGAGUUAUCAAAUAUUAA